Molecule: transfer RNA, 72 nt
Filed under: Bos taurus (domestic cattle)
Lineage: Eukaryota; Metazoa; Chordata; Mammalia; Artiodactyla; Bovidae
Also listed under: 5 other names
Rfam family: tRNA
About the family: Transfer RNA (tRNA) molecules are approximately 80 nucleotides in length.
Source: Rfam by way of RNAcentral
UCCCUGGUGGCUCAGAUGGUAAAGCAUCUGUCUGCAAUGCAGGAUACCUGGGUUCAAUCCCUGGAUUGGGAA